UACAGAGGAUGCAAGCGUUAUCCGGAAUGAUUGGGCGUAAAGCGCACGUAGGCGGACUCUUAAGUCGGUGGUGAAAUCCUGGAGCUCAACUCCAGAACUGCCUUCGAUACUGGGAGUCUCGAGUCCGGGAGAGGUGAGUGGAACUGCGAGUGUAGAGGUGAAAUUCGUAGAUAUUCGCAAGAACACCAGUGGCGAAGGCGGCUCACUGGCCCGGUACUGACGCUGAGGUGCGAAAGCGUGAGGAGCAAACAGG
This 253-nucleotide ribosomal RNA is filed under the name uncultured bacterium. RNAcentral describes it as "partial 16S ribosomal RNA". It matches the Rfam family "Bacterial small subunit ribosomal RNA", at positions 524 to 776 of the family's 1533-position model. The record is from RNAcentral.